Nanorana parkeri is the source of this 207-nucleotide long non-coding RNA. RefSeq lists it as uncharacterized. NCBI's taxonomy places the organism in Eukaryota, Metazoa, Chordata, Amphibia, Anura, Dicroglossidae. The record is from RefSeq and is a predicted model, not a curated record. The transcript is spliced from 3 exons.
GUGCUCCUGUUAUCAGGUCAUUUAUCCUGUCCCCGAUCCGGGUAGCAGCGGAUUACCACCACUGGUGAAUGUAACACUAUGGAAACUCUUGGAUUCCAGCAGCCGAGCAGGAUAGCAACAGCAGUACAUCCAGUUGGGAGUUCUUACACAGACUGGCAGACUCCUCAAAUAUCAGGAAAAUCUCAUAGUCGAACGGCUUUCCCUCAU